UUAGCGGCGGACGGGUGAGUAACACGUGGGUAACCUGCCUGUAAGACUGGGAUAACUCCGGGAAACCGGGGCUAAUACCGGAUGGUUGUUUGAACCGCAUGGUUCAAACAUAAAAGGUGGCUUCGGCUACCACUUACAGAUGGACCCGCGGCGCAUUAGCUAGUUGGUGAGGUAACGGCUCACCAAGGCAACGAUGCGUAGCCGACCUGAGAGGGUGAUCGGCCACACUGGGACUGAGACACGGCCCAGACUCCUACGGGAGGCAGCAGUAGGGAAUCUUCCGCAAUGGACGAAAGUCUGACGGAGCAACGCCGCGUGAGUGAUGAAGGUUUUCGGAUCGUAAAGCUCUGUUGUUAGGGAAGAACAAGUACCGUUCGAAUAGGGCGGUACCUUGACGGUACCUAACCAGAAAGCCACGGCUAACUACGUGCCAGCAGCCGCGGUAAUACGUAGGUGGCAAGCGUUGUCCGGAAUUAUUGGGCGUAAAGGGCUCGCAGGCGGUUUCUUAAGU
This 511-nucleotide ribosomal RNA is filed under the name bacterium D5(2005). RNAcentral describes it as "bacterial SSU rRNA". It matches the Rfam family "Bacterial small subunit ribosomal RNA", at positions 92 to 588 of the family's 1533-position model. RNAcentral also lists the same sequence under 1 other name. The record is from RNAcentral.